AGCUUUGCGCAGUGGCAGUAUCGUAGCCAAUGAGGUUUAUCCGAGGCGCGAUUAUUGCUAAUUGAAAACCCUAGAGCCAAACAUGACAUACUUACAAGUUAGAGUGAGGUACUCCCUAAACAUUACAAAACAAGAAAUUAAAAUUUCCCUUCAUGAUUUAAAUUG
RNAcentral lists this small nuclear RNA (165 nucleotides) under Physeter macrocephalus (sperm whale). RNAcentral describes it as "Physeter catodon (sperm whale) U4 spliceosomal RNA (ENSPCTG00005014099.1)". The stretch from base 1 to 84 matches the Rfam family "U4 spliceosomal RNA". Rfam says of the family: U4 small nuclear RNA (U4 snRNA) is a component of the major U2-dependent spliceosome. The structure of U4 snRNA from yeast and human has been reported. The record is from Rfam by way of RNAcentral. Lineage: Eukaryota; Metazoa; Chordata; Mammalia; Artiodactyla; Physeteridae.